GACGAACGCUGGCGGCGUGCUUAACACAUGCAAGUCGAACGGAAGGGCCCUGCUUUUGUGGGGUGCUCGAGUGGCGAACGGGUGGGUAACACGUGAGUAACCUGCCCUUGACUUUGGGAUAACUUCAGGAAACUGGGGCUAAUACCGGAUAGGAGCUCCUGCUGCAUGGUGGGGGUUGGAAAGUUUCGGCGGUUGGGGAUGGACUCGCGGCUUAUCAGCUUGUUGGUGGGGUAGUGGCUUACCAAGGCUUUGACGGGUAGCCGGCCUGAGAGGGUGACCGGCCACAUUGGGACUGAGAUACGGCCCAGAUUCCUACGGGAGGCAGCAGUGGGGAAUAUUGCACAAUGGGCGGAAGCCUGAUGCAGCAACGCCGCGUGCGGGAUGACGGCCUUCGGGUUGUAAACCGCUUUCGCCUGUGACGAAGCGUGAGUGACGGUAAUGGGUAAAGAAGCACCGGCUAACUACGUG
RNAcentral lists this ribosomal RNA (468 nucleotides) under uncultured bacterium. Its description in RNAcentral is "partial 16S ribosomal RNA". It matches the Rfam family "Bacterial small subunit ribosomal RNA", at positions 28 to 507 of the family's 1533-position model. The record is from RNAcentral.